UUCAAAACACGUCCAAAACACUUUAUUAUGAAAAAAUUCUAGUUCUAUAAAAUAUUUAAUUUUUUUUUUGGUUGUUUUAACAAAAAAAGAAGAAGUCCGGAUUUUAAAAAAAUUCGAAAAUCCGGACCUGAUUAGUGUUCUAUAUAUAUAUAUACAUAUAUAUAUAUAUAUACACACACUCCUGCAAACCAUUUUAUCCAUUACACUUGCUAUGUAAUUGUAUUAUUAUUGUAAUCAAAUGAAUAUACAGUACUAUCAAAUAAUAAUUUCUCAAGAUUUAGCCAAACUUGAUUGUCAAAAUCGUUCCUCUUUCCGAGCAACCACUGCAAUGCUUUCUUUUUUGGUUUACUAAGUGGCGGCUUCCUUUUGUUUUUUUAUAUCUGACUGUUAUUUUUCUUACGAGG
This 404-nucleotide long non-coding RNA is filed under the name Panax ginseng (ginseng). RNAcentral's name for it is "long non-coding RNA (PGIN_LNC009956)". Lineage: Eukaryota; Viridiplantae; Streptophyta; Magnoliopsida; Apiales; Araliaceae. The record is from RNAcentral.